RNAcentral lists this ribosomal RNA (365 nucleotides) under uncultured eukaryote. Its description in RNAcentral is "SSU rRNA". It matches the Rfam family "Eukaryotic small subunit ribosomal RNA", at positions 592 to 966 of the family's 1831-position model. The record is from RNAcentral.
CAAUAGCGUAUAUUAAAGUUGUUGCAGUUAAAAAGCUCGUAGUUGGAUUUCUGGGGGGGCGCGGAUUGUCCGCAGCCGCGUGUGCAGAUGCGCCCUUUCAUCCUUCUGUUAACGUCUCAUGGCAUUCAUUUGCUGGGGGGCGGGCUCAGAUAUUUUACCUUGAGAAAAUUAGAGUGUUUCAGGCAGGCUCGCGUCGGAAUACAUUAGCAUGGAAUAAUAGAAUAGGACUCAGUCCUCCUUUGUUGGUUUGAGGGGUCAGAGUAAUGGUUAAUAGGGAUAGUUGGGGGCAUUAGUAUUUGACUGUCAGAGGUGAAAUUCUCGGAUUUGUUAAAGACUAACUUAUGCGAAAGCAUUUGCCAAGGAUG